ACACGUAGGGGGCGAGCGUUAUCCGGAUUCAUUGGGCGUAAAGCGCGCGCAGGCGGCCGCUCAAGCGGGACCUCUAAUCCCGGGGCUCACCCCCGGGCCGGGUCCCGAACUGGGCGGCUCGUGCCCGGUAGGGGAGGUCGGAAUUCCCGGUGCAGCGGCGGACUGCGCAGAUAUCGGGAAGAACACCGAUGGCGAAGGCAGGCCUCUGGGCCGCGACAGACGCUGAGGCGCGAAAGCUAGGGGAGCGAACAGGAUUAGAUACCGUGGUAGUCCUAGCCGUAAACGAUGACAGCUAGGUGUGGGGGCAGGCCUUGCCCCCGUGCCGCAGCCAACGCAUUAAGCUGUCCGCCUGGGGAGUACGGCCGCAAGGCUAAAACUCAAAUGAAUUGGCGGGG
Molecule: ribosomal RNA, 395 nt
Filed under: uncultured bacterium
Lineage: Bacteria
Description: partial 16S ribosomal RNA
Rfam family: Bacterial small subunit ribosomal RNA
Source: RNAcentral